AGUGGCACCUCUACUGUCUCUAGAUUCGAUUCUCCAAUCAAAUCCAAUUUUAUGUGUGUUGGUCCUUCCACCUCAUGAACUUCAUUAAGUUCAAUUUUACAAACAUUAUCUCCUUCACCAAGAAACUUUUUUUCCAAAAAGAUUGUCCGGCUACUGCCAAACAUCUUUUGUUUUGCAGCAAGGUAGAUAUAGUAUCCUUUAGUUUUCUUUGGAUAUUUUACGAACAAGCAUCUGUCGGACUUUGAUCCAAGCUUAUCUGUCUUUAAAUGCUUGACAUAAGCUGGACACCCCCAGACCCUAAGGUGUGAGAGC
RNAcentral lists this long non-coding RNA (312 nucleotides) under Elaeis guineensis (African oil palm). RNAcentral describes it as "long non-coding RNA (EGUI_LNC056810)". Lineage: Eukaryota; Viridiplantae; Streptophyta; Magnoliopsida; Arecales; Arecaceae. The record is from RNAcentral.